UACGUAGGGGGCAAGCGUUGUCCGGAAUCAUUGGGCGUAAAGAGCGUGUAGGCGGCCUGGUAAGUCCGCUGUGAAAGUCCAGGGCUCAACCCUGGAAUGCCGGUGGAAACUGUCAGGCUCGAGUCCGGAAGAGGCGAGUGGAAUUCCUGGUGUAGCGGUGAAAUGCGCAGAUAUCAGGAGGAACACCAAUGGCGAAGGCAGCUCGCUGGGACGGUACUGACGCUGAGGAGCGAAAGCGUGGGGAGCGAACAGG
Molecule: ribosomal RNA, 253 nt
Filed under: uncultured bacterium
Lineage: Bacteria
Description: partial 16S ribosomal RNA
Rfam family: Bacterial small subunit ribosomal RNA
Source: RNAcentral